GGUUGCAAUUGACAAGCAAUCAGCCAAUAGUUUUCCCUAUAUAGGCUUGAUAGAAACAACUGGUGCUGGCAUACAGUAUCAACUUCUUUGUAGACUGUUUCUGUUUAUUGUCAUUCAGCUCUUUAUGCGAAGCACAACAAAAUGGAAAAUUUUGCAACAUGGGGGGAAAACAACAACCUCAAAGAAGUUUACAAAAAGAGUUGCUGAGAAGAUGACAUGGACUGACCAAGGAACAUGACAUUCUGACAUUCGGCACAGUGGAGCUUGAUUGAUCAGGCUUAACAUGGGAACAGGUGCCUCCAUUUCGAUCUGUCAGUCGUUAUCCUCUGUAGAAAUUAAGUACUGUCGAAAUAAAGUUGGACCACAACCUCAGAGAACUUUUGGCAUCCCUCUUGACUACUUUGCCCAAGAGGAAACUCAAUGUCCUGUUCCUUCCGUUGUCAAGUACUUGGUGGAAUAUUUAGAAGAGUUUGGUCUGAAUCACAAAGGCCUAUUUCGGAUCAGUGGCUCAGUGACCAAAAUCAAAGCGCUGAAGGAGAAGUAUGACCAAGGAGAAGAGGUGGAUCUUGUUAACGAAGGAGAUGCCAAUUCCAUUGCCAGCCUGCUUAAACUCUUCCUGAAUGAGCUCCCAGUCGCUGUUAUCCCUGACUAUCUGUGCGCCAAUAUUUUAGAUACUUUUGAAGAUAAUAAAAACGACAUGGCAGACUGCCCAGGAUGCACCCUAAGAAGGCUAUUAAGCAGCCUACCAAAAGCCCACUAUAGCCUUUUCCAUUUCCUUAUUAGAUUUCUGGUCAAAGUGGCAGCACAUAGCGAUGAGAACCACAUGACAAUGGAGAACCUUGCCAUUGUUUUUGGCCCCACCCUUUUCCGAAUUCCUUGCAGCCCCUCAGCUCAUAAAAAACAAGCAGUAUGCAAUGGCAUUCUCCUAUAUAUUCUUCAGCACCAUGAGGAGAUAUUUGUGGUCUGCCCUGACACUCAUUUCUCACUGACAGAGGCAGGUGACCCCCAGAUUCUCUCCCCUGCCCCAUUGUCCCAAGAGCUGACACAACAGACAGAGGAAAUCCAUCAUCCAUAAUGUAUGCGGCAAGCAACCUAAGUCUGGCUGGCCCCUUCCCUCCACAUGGUGUCAGUAUUGCGUUUUGGAAUCUCACUGUUCCACUUGGUGGCAACUGGCUCGAUUUUAACCUGCAGUUUUCAAGGAAAUAUAACAAGGAGUCUGCCAAGUCCAUCGAGCAAAGGGAAUAUUUUCUGAAUUCAGCUGCUUGAUCUGUUUUUUAUAAUCAUUAUUUGUGCUUCAAGUCUGACCUUCACAUCCCUCAACAUGAAAUCCAUGUCAGUAAAGUCCCUGUUAUUUGAUCUUACAUUUACAGUCCAUAGGGUGCUGCCUUUGCACAGAGCAGUGCUAGACAUUGCAAAAUAAACAAACAACCACCAAAAACCCAACAGCACUGCCCCCCCCCCCCCGCUGAGUUUUCCUCUUCCUCUCUUUUGGAUUUGGCCUGCCUCAUUCUGGAUAUUGUUGUUCUGAGUUUUCUCUGCCCCUGAUAGUCCUGUAGAUAUCGGGACAUGUGGUAAAUGGGAGCAGAUGUUAUAGAGCGGGGCAGGGGAGGAGGAACUUGGCAGGGGGCUGCUCUUUUUGGCAGUAGCAGCUCUGUAUUUUGUAACAUCUAGGUACAAACACACACUGCUUCCACUUGGCUUGGUCCCAUGAGGCUGUUUUAUGUGUGUGGAUACUGCAGCCUCCCACACAAAGCCAGUGGCACAAGUCUUUCUCAGGUGACUUCAGUCUCAGUGGUACAGAUAAGUAUCAGCUUGGGGACAGGAUACCUAGCAGUCCACCUUCCUCUUUACAAUAUACCUCUGGUUGGUCGCUCAGAUCUUCCAAGGGGGCCUUUCUGAUGAGAAAAAUGAUGGGAUGCAAUUUUAUAGCAUCUUGCAAGCAGGCCUUUUUGGUAGUGGCACCACUCUCUGGAACAUAAACCAUGUGAUGUUCAUGAGGUAGCAAUACCUUCUGAAGACCCAUCAAUUUAUGCAGGCUUUCUCUGGCCUGUAAGCUUCAUUGCACUGCUCCAUUUUACUGAUGUAUUCUUUGCUUUUAUUGAUGUGGGGUUUUUUUUGUAUUUUGGUUAACUGUUGUAAUAUAGAUCUUUUAAUGAUCUUAACUGUUUCAUGUGAGCUGUUUAGAAACGUCACUCAUUAACUGGCACAUAGAUAUUAUAAAUAAAAAUGAAUGAAAGAAUAA
Molecule: RNA transcript, 2242 nt
Organism: Podarcis raffonei (Aeolian wall lizard)
Lineage: Eukaryota; Metazoa; Chordata; Lepidosauria; Squamata; Lacertidae
Gene name: protein FAM13A-like
Exons: 8
Source: RefSeq, a predicted model, not a curated record